Small nuclear RNA from Saimiri boliviensis boliviensis (Bolivian squirrel monkey), 102 nucleotides. The record is from Ensembl. Lineage: Eukaryota; Metazoa; Chordata; Mammalia; Primates; Cebidae.
GUGCUUGCCUCGGCAGCGUAUAUGCUACAGUCGAAACGAUAGAGAUUAGCAUGGCUCCCGCGGGAGGAUGUCGCGCCAAUCCAUGAAGCAUUCCAUAUCUUU